AACGCACAUUGCACUCUCUGGUAUUCCGGAGAGUAUGCUUGUUUGAGUAUCUGUAAACAUCUCAAAUCUCUCUUCGCUUGCGUCGAGUAGAAUUGGAUUUGAGCGAUCCCGACUCUUUCAUCAGAGAGAGGAGGGUCGCUUGAAAUGCAGGUGCAGCUGGACAUUCUUCUGAGCUAAAAGCAUAUCUAUUUAGUCCCGUCAAACGGAUUAUUACUUUUGCUUCAGCUAAUAUAAAGGUCGAAUGAACUACCAACGCUGAUUGCAGGAAAACUUGUUCGUUUAUUCGGACUUGUAAACUCGAUCUCAAAUCAAGUAAGACUACCCGCUGAACUUAA
Molecule: unclassified non-coding RNA, 335 nt
Filed under: uncultured Mortierella
Lineage: Eukaryota; Fungi; Mortierellomycota; Mortierellomycetes; Mortierellales; Mortierellaceae
Description: sequence contains ITS2
Source: RNAcentral